UACGUAGGUCCCGAGCGUUGUCCGGAUUUAUUGGGCGUAAAGCGAGCGCAGGUGGUUUAUUAAGUCUGGUGUAAAAGGCAGUGGCUCAACCAUUGUAUGCAUUGGAAACUGGUAGACUUGAGUGCAGGAGAGGAGAGUGGAAUUCCAUGUGUAGCGGUGAAAUGCGUAGAUAUAUGGAGGAACACCGGUGGCGCAAGCGGCUCUCUGGCCUGUAACUGACACUGAGGCUCGAAAGCGUGGGGAGCAAACAGG
Molecule: ribosomal RNA, 252 nt
Filed under: uncultured bacterium
Lineage: Bacteria
Description: partial 16S ribosomal RNA
Rfam family: Bacterial small subunit ribosomal RNA
Source: RNAcentral